UACGUAGGUGGCAAGCGUUGUCCGGAUUUAUUGGGCGUAAAGCGAGUGCAGGCGGCUCGAUAAGUCUGAUGUGAAAGCCUUCGGCUCAACCGGAGAAUUGCAUUAGAAACUGUCGAGCUUGAGUACAGAAGAGGAGAGUGGAACUCCAUGUGUAGCGGUGAAAUGCGUAGAUAUAUGGAAGAACACCGGUGGCGAAGGCGGCUCUCUGGUCUGUUACUGACGCUGAGGCUCGAAAGCAUGGGUAGCGAACAGG
RNAcentral lists this ribosomal RNA (253 nucleotides) under Lactobacillus iners DSM 13335. RNAcentral describes it as "partial 16S ribosomal RNA". It matches the Rfam family "Bacterial small subunit ribosomal RNA", at positions 524 to 776 of the family's 1533-position model. Lineage: Bacteria; Bacillati; Bacillota; Bacilli; Lactobacillales; Lactobacillaceae. The record is from RNAcentral.